CGGCGGACGGGUGAGUAACACGUGGAUAACCUACCUAUAAGACUGGGAUAACUUCGGGAAACCGGAGCUAAUACCGGAUAAUAUAUUGAACCGCAUGGUUCAAUAGUGAAAGACGGUUUUGCUGUCACUUAUAGAUGGAUCCGCGCCGCAUUAGCUAGUUGGUAAGGUAACGGCUUACCAAGGCAACGAUGCGUAGCCGACUUGAGAGGGUGAUCGGCCACGCUGGAACUGAGACACGGUCCAG
RNAcentral lists this ribosomal RNA (244 nucleotides) under uncultured Staphylococcus sp. Its description in RNAcentral is "partial 16S ribosomal RNA". It matches the Rfam family "Bacterial small subunit ribosomal RNA", at positions 96 to 334 of the family's 1533-position model. Lineage: Bacteria; Bacillati; Bacillota; Bacilli; Caryophanales; Staphylococcaceae. The record is from RNAcentral.